This 252-nucleotide ribosomal RNA is filed under the name Paenibacillaceae bacterium. Its description in RNAcentral is "partial 16S ribosomal RNA". It matches the Rfam family "Bacterial small subunit ribosomal RNA", at positions 524 to 776 of the family's 1533-position model. RNAcentral also lists the same sequence under 1 other name. Lineage: Bacteria; Bacillati; Bacillota; Bacilli; Caryophanales; Paenibacillaceae. The record is from RNAcentral.
UACGUAGGGGGCAAGCGUUGUCCGGAAUUAUUGGGCGUAAAGCGCGCGCAGGCGGUCGUUUAAGUCCGAUGUUUAAACCGAGGGCUCAACCCUCGGUCGCAUGGGAAACUGGGCGACUGGAGUGCAGGAGAGGAAAGUGGAAUUCCACGUGUAGCGGUGAAAUGCGUAGAGAUGUGGAGGAACACCAGUGGCGAAGGCGACUUUCUGGCCUGUAACUGACGCUGAGGCGCGAAAGCGUGGGGAGCAAACAGG